GUUGACAGAAGAGAGAGAGCAC
RNAcentral lists this microRNA (22 nucleotides) under Corchorus olitorius. Its description in RNAcentral is "bcy-miR1". Lineage: Eukaryota; Viridiplantae; Streptophyta; Magnoliopsida; Malvales; Malvaceae. The record is from RNAcentral.